RNAcentral lists this ribosomal RNA (426 nucleotides) under uncultured bacterium. RNAcentral's name for it is "bacterial SSU rRNA". It matches the Rfam family "Bacterial small subunit ribosomal RNA", at positions 356 to 774 of the family's 1533-position model. The record is from RNAcentral.
GGGGAAUUUUGGACAAUGGGCGAAAGCCUGAUCCAGCAAUGCCGCGUGUGUGAAGAAGGCCUUCGGGUUGUAAAGCACUUUUGUCCAGAAAGAAAUCCUCUGGGUUAAUACCUCGGGGGGAUGACGGUACCGGAAGAAUAAGCACCGGCUAACUACGUGCCAGCAGCCGCGGUAAUACGUAGGGUGCAAGCGUUAAUCGGAAUUACUGGGCGUAAGGCGUGCGCAGGCGGUUUUGUAAGACGGAUGUGAAAUCCCCGGGCUUAACCUGAGAACUGCAUUCGUGACUGCAAGGCUAGAGUAUGGCAGAGGGGGGUAGAAUUCCACGUGUAGCAGUGAAAUGCGUAGAGAUGUGGAAGAACACCGAUGGCGAAGGCAGCUCCCUGGGUUGACACUGACGCUCAUGCACGAAAGCGUGGGGAGCAAACA